Molecule: ribosomal RNA, 746 nt
Filed under: uncultured Bacteroidota bacterium
Lineage: Bacteria; Pseudomonadati; Bacteroidota
Description: bacterial SSU rRNA
Rfam family: Bacterial small subunit ribosomal RNA
Source: RNAcentral
CUUACACAUGCAAGUCGAACGGUAACAUUGGUGCUUGCACCAGAUGACGAGUGGCGCACGGGUGCGUAACGCGUAUGCAAUCUACCUUUUACUGAAGAAUAGCCCAGAGAAAUUUGGAAUAAUCCUUCAUAACAUCAUUUAUCAGCAUUGAUUUAUGAUUAAAGCUCCGGCGGUAAAAGAUGAGCAUGCGUCCUAUUAGUUUGUUGGUGAGGUAACGGCUCACCAAGACUACGAUAGGUAGGGGCCCUGAGAGGGGGAUCCCCCACACUGGUACUGAGACACGGACCAGACUCCUACGGGAGGCAGCAGUGAGGAAUAUUGGACAAUGGAGGCAACUCUGAUCCAGCCAUGCCGCGUGCAGGAUGACUGCCCUAUGGGUUGUAAACUGCUUUUAUAUAGGAAGAAACACUCCCACGUGUGGGGGCUUGACGGUACUAUAUGAAUAAGGAUCGGCUAACUCCGUGCCAGCAGCCGCGGUAAUACGGAGGAUCCAAGCGUUAUCCGGAAUCAUUGGGUUUAAAGGGUCCGCAGGCGGCCUGUUAAGUCAGAGGUGAAAGCCAACAGCUCAACUGUUGAACUGCCUUUGAUACUGAUAGGCUAGAGUUAUUGUGAAGUGGUUAGAAUGUGUGGUGUAGCGGUGAAAUGCUUAGAUAUCACACAGAAUACCCAUUGCGAAGGCAGAUCACUAACAAUAUACUGACGCUCAUGGACGAAAGCGUGGGGAGCGAACAGGAUUAAAUACCCCG